AAAGUUAGUGGCGGACGGGUGAGUAACGCGUGAAUAACCUGCCCUGUACCGGGGGACAACAGUUGGAAACGACUGCUAAUACCGCAUAAGCGCACGGUUCCGCAUGGAACAGUGUGAGAAACUCCGGUGGUACAGGAUGGAUUCGCGUCUGAUUAGCCAGUUGGUGGGGUAACGGCCUACCAAAGCAACGAUCAGUAGCCGGCCUGAGAGGGUGAACGGCCACAUUGGGACUGAGACACGGCCCAAACUCC
Molecule: ribosomal RNA, 251 nt
Filed under: uncultured Eubacteriales bacterium
Lineage: Bacteria; Bacillati; Bacillota; Clostridia; Eubacteriales
Description: uncultured Clostridiales bacterium partial 16S ribosomal RNA
Rfam family: Bacterial small subunit ribosomal RNA
Source: RNAcentral